RNAcentral lists this transfer RNA (77 nucleotides) under Cordylochernes scorpioides. RNAcentral describes it as "tRNA-Thr". The record is from RNAcentral. Lineage: Eukaryota; Metazoa; Arthropoda; Arachnida; Pseudoscorpiones; Chernetidae.
UGUCCAGGGGCGGGAAACGAACCCACAACCUUCUGCUUACCGAGCAGGUGCCAUGUCCACUAGGCCCGCCCCUGGAC